GACUGCUCUGGUGGCUGUGUGGUAAGAGCUUCCACCUCGGAUGCAGGUAGUCCUUGGUUAGAACCUGAGCCAAGUCA
This is a non-coding RNA of Potamilus streckersoni, 77 nucleotides long. Lineage: Eukaryota; Metazoa; Mollusca; Bivalvia; Unionida; Unionidae. The record is from the annotation of a GenBank genome assembly.